Molecule: long non-coding RNA, 1823 nt
Organism: Oncorhynchus keta (chum salmon)
Lineage: Eukaryota; Metazoa; Chordata; Actinopteri; Salmoniformes; Salmonidae
Exons: 4
Source: RefSeq, a predicted model, not a curated record
GGUCCAUAGGGCUCUAGACCAGGGUCCAUAGGGCUCUAGACCAGGGUCCAUAGACCAGGGUCCAUAGGGCUCUAGACCAGGGUCCAUCCAUAGGGCUCUAGACCAGGGUCCAUCUCUAGACCAGGGUCCAUAGGGCUCUAGACCAGGGUCCAUAGGGCUCUGACCAGGGUCCACAGGGCUCUAGACCAGGGUCCACAGGGCUCUAGACCAGGGUCCAUAGGGCUCUAGACCAGGGUCCAUAGGGCUCUGGACCAGGGUCCAUAGGGCUCUGGUUCAGACCAGGGUCCAUAGGGCUCUGGACCAGGGUCCACAGGGCUCUAGACCAGGGUCCACAGGGCUCUAGACCAGGGUCCACAGGGCUCUAGACCAGGGUCCACAGGGCUCUAGACCAGGGUCCAUAGGGCUCUAGACCAGGGUCCAUAGGGCUCUAGACCAGGGUCCACAGGGCUCUAGACCAGGGUCCAUAGGGCUCUAGACCAGGGUCCAUAGUGCUCUGGUCUAAAGUAGUGCACUAUAUUGAGGAUAUGAUACCAUUUGGGAUGCAUCCCAGGUCAGUGUUGACCUGAUCACUCAUCCUUUACAUUGGAAUAAAACAUUCAGAGGCCAUGGGAAUGUCCCAUUUCACCGCUUCACUUCAAUCUAACAGCAAGUCAAUGAGAAUAUAGUGGAUAUAUAUACACAUAUCACAACCCCUGGUCUGAGCUUAAAAACAUCUUAUUUGACAAGUGAGUUUAUUUACAGAGAUCAUUCCUAGUGUCUUUGUUCACUGCUGUCCAGCUGCCCUGAUUGAAAUGACUGCUAUUAGUUCACUAAAUAAUCUAUAUAUUUUUAUCAAUACCUUCUCAACACUCACCACAAGAGGUUCAGAAAACACUAGGUCUAAGAUCAGAAAACUCCAUGUCUCAGGUCAAGGAGCAGGUCUAGGAGCAGGUCUAGGAGCAGGUCUAGGAGCAGGUCUAAGAUCAGAAAACUCCAUGUCUCAGGUCUAGGAGCAGGUCUAAGAUCAGAGAACUCCAUGUCUCAGGUCAAGGAGCAGGUCAAGGAGCAGGUCUAAGAUCAGAAAACUCCAUGUCUCAGGUCAAGGAGCAGGUCAAGGAGCAGGUCUAAGAUCAGAAAACUCCAUGUCUCAGGUCAAGGAGCAGGUCAAGGAGCAGGUCUAAGAUCAGAAAACUCCAUGUCUCAGGUCAAGGAGCAGGUCAAGGAGCAGGUCUAAGAUCAGAAAACUCCAUGUCUCAGGUCAAGGAGCAGGUCAAGGAGCAGGUCUAAGAUCAGAAAACUCCAUGUCUCAGGUCAAGGAGCAGGUCUAAGAUCAGAAAACUCCAUGUCUCAGGUCAAGGAGCAGGUCAAGGAGCAGGUCUAAGAUCAGAAAACUCCAUGUCUCAGGUCAAGGAGCAGGUCAAGGAGCAGGUCUAAGAUCAGAAAACUCCAUGUCUCAGGUCAAGGAGCAGGUCUAAGAUCAGAAAACGCCAUGUCUCAGGUCUAGGAGCAGGUCAAGGAGCAGGUCAAGGAGCAGGUCAAGGAGCAGGUCUAGGAGCAGGUCAAGGAGCAGGUCUAGGAGCAGGUCAAGGAGCAGGUCAAGGAGCAGGUCAAGGAGCAGGUCUAGGAGCAGGUCUAGGAGCAGGUCUAAGAUCAGAAAACUCCAUGUCUCAGGUCAAGGAGCAGGUCUAAGAUCAGAAAACUCCAUGUCUCAGGUCAAGGAGCAGGUCAAGGAGCAGGUCUAAGAUCAGAAAACUCCAUGUCUCAGGUCAAGGAGCAGGUCAAGGAGCAGGUCUAAGAUCAGAAAACUCCAUGUCUCAGGUCAAGGAGCAGGUCUAAGAUCAGAA